UACGAGGGGGGCAAGCGUUGUUCGGAAUUACUGGGCGUAAAGGGUUCGUAGGUGGCCACUUAAGUCAGACGUGAAAUCCCUCAGCUUAACUGGGGAACUGCGUCUGAUACUGAGUGGCUUGAGUGCAGGAGAGGAAUGCGGAAUUCCAGGUGUAGCGGUGAAAUGCGUAGAUAUCUGGAGGAACACCGGUGGCGAAGGCGGCAUCCUGGACCGGUAUUGACGCUGAUGCGCGAAAGCCAGGGGAGCAAACGGG
RNAcentral lists this ribosomal RNA (253 nucleotides) under uncultured bacterium. Its description in RNAcentral is "partial 16S ribosomal RNA". It matches the Rfam family "Bacterial small subunit ribosomal RNA", at positions 524 to 776 of the family's 1533-position model. The record is from RNAcentral.